CACAGACGUGACCGAGGCGGUCCCUGCAUUGGCUGGGAACGGUCAUGACUGCGGGCUGCGGCCACGGCAACACGGCUCGUAUGAUCUGUGCCUCACUGCCGGCACUGGUAGACAGCUGGCGCAGCCUGCGGGCAAACAGGGUCGGCGGUCCAGAGACGUCUCUCCCCAUCUCAGCCGCAGCGUCGGCCCCGUGGACUUCGGAAUGGGUGGCGGUUGCGGCGUGGUUACUCCCCGGAUGAAGUAAUGUGUGCACAGGGCCGGCGGUCCAGAGACGUCUCUCCGUCACAGCCGCAGCACCUGCCCCGGACCCGGUUGCUGUCGGGACUCGGCUCCAUCCCUUUCGUAACACGGGACUCGGCUUCUGUCUGGACCCGACUCCAUCCCCGUUCUAACGGGCGGGACAGUCUGCCCUCUCUCCGUCCCUCCGUCUCUCUUCAGGCAGACAGGUGAGUGCUGCUCAGUCUGUCGUGU
RNAcentral lists this unclassified non-coding RNA (471 nucleotides) under Pollicipes pollicipes. RNAcentral's name for it is "uncharacterized LOC119104622, transcript variant X1". Lineage: Eukaryota; Metazoa; Arthropoda; Thecostraca; Pollicipedomorpha; Pollicipedidae. The record is from RNAcentral.